UUUAAUGAGAGUUUGAUCCUGGCUCAGGACGAACGCUGGCGGCGUGCCUAAUACAUGCAAGUAGAACGCUGAAGAGAGGAGCUUGCUCUUCUUGGAUGAGUUGCGAACGGGUGAGUAACGCGUAGGUAACCUGCCUUGUAGCGGGGGAUAACUAUUGGAAACGAUAGCUAAUACCGCAUAACAAUGGAUGACACAUGUCAUUUAUUUGAAAGGGGCAAUUGCUCCACUACAAGAUGGACCUGCGUUGUAUUAGCUAGUAGGUGAGGUAACGGCUCACCUAGGCGACGAUACAUAGCCGACCUGAGAGGGUGAUCGGCCACACUGGGACUGAGACACGGCCCAGACUCCUACGGGAGGCAGCAGUAGGGAAUCUUCGGCAAUGGGGGCAACCCUGACCGAGCAACGCCGCGUGAGUGAAGAAGGUUUUCGGAUCGUAAAGCUCUGUUGUAAGUCAAGAACGAGUGUGAGAGUGGAAAGUUCACACUGUGACGGUAGCUUACCAGAAAGGGACGGCUAACUACGUGCCAGCAGCCGCGGUAAUACGUAGGUCCCGAGCGUUGUCCGGAUUUAUUGGGCGUAAAGCGAGCGCAGGCGGUUUGAUAAGUCUGAAGUUAAAGGCUGUGGCUCAACCAUAGUUCGCUUUGGAAACUGUCAAACUUGAGUGCAGAAGGGGAGAGUGGAAUUCCAUGUGUAGCGGUGAAAUGCGUAGAUAUAUGGAGGAACACCGGUGGCGAAAGCGGCUCUCUGGUCUGUAACUGACGCUGAGGCUCGAAAGCGUGGGGAGCGAACAGGAUUAGAUACCCUGGUAGUCCACGCCGUAAACGAUGAGUGCUAGGUGUUGGAUCCUUUCCGGGAUUCAGUGCCGCAGCUAACGCAUUAAGCACUCCGCCUGGGGAGUACGACCGCAAGGUUGAAACUCAAAGGAAUUGACGGGGGCCCGCACAAGCGGUGGAGCAUGUGGUUUAAUUCGAAGCAACGCGAAGAACCUUACCAGGUCUUGACAUCCCGAUGCUAUUUCUAGAGAUAGAAAGUUACUUCGGUACAUCGGUGACAGGUGGUGCAUGGUUGUCGUCAGCUCGUGUCGUGAGAUGUUGGGUUAAGUCCCGCAACGAGCGCAACCCCUAUUGUUAGUUGCCAUCAUUCAGUUGGGCACUCUAGCGAGACUGCCGGUAAUAAACCGGAGGAAGGUGGGGAUGACGUCAAAUCAUCAUGCCCCUUAUGACCUGGGCUACACACGUGCUACAAUGGUUGGUACAACGAGUUGCGAGUCGGUGACGGCAAGCUAAUCUCUUAAAGCCAAUCUCAGUUCGGAUUGUAGGCUGCAACUCGCCUACAUGAAGUCGGAAUCGCUAGUAAUCGCGGAUCAGCACGCCGCGGUGAAUACGUUCCCGGGCCUUGUACACACCGCCCGUCACACCACGAGAGUUUGUAACACCCGAAGUCGGUGAGGUAACCUUUUGGAGCCAGCCGCCUAAGGUGGGAUAGAUGAUUGGGGUGAAGUCGUAACAAGGUAGCCGUAUCGGAAGGUGCGGCUGGAUCACCUCCUUU
Molecule: ribosomal RNA, 1548 nt
Filed under: Streptococcus salivarius
Lineage: Bacteria; Bacillati; Bacillota; Bacilli; Lactobacillales; Streptococcaceae
Also listed under: 5 other names
Description: bacterial SSU rRNA
Rfam family: Bacterial small subunit ribosomal RNA
Source: RNAcentral